AGCAGCCGCGGUAAUUCCAGCUCCAAUAGCGUAUAUUAAAGUUGCUGCAGUUAAAAAGCUCGUAGUUGAAUUUCGGGACCAAUAUGUCGGUCGUGCCUCGGUACGUACUGGCAUCGUUGGUUUCUCCCUUCUGACGAACCAUGAUGUCAUUCAUUUGGUGUCGUGGGGAAUCAGGACUGUUACUUUGAAAAAUUGAGUGUUUAAAGCAGGCUCACGCUUGAAUACAUUAGCAUGGAAUAAUGAAAUAGGACGUUUGAUUCUAUUUUGUUGGUUUCUAGGAUCGACGUAAUGAUUAAUAGGGAUAGUUGGGGCAUUAGUAUUCAAUUGUCAGAGGUGAAAUUCUUGGAUUUAUUGAAGACUAACUACUGCGAAAGCAUUUG
Molecule: ribosomal RNA, 380 nt
Filed under: uncultured Glomus
Lineage: Eukaryota; Fungi; Glomeromycota; Glomeromycetes; Glomerales; Glomeraceae
Description: SSU rRNA
Rfam family: Eukaryotic small subunit ribosomal RNA
Source: RNAcentral